This 465-nucleotide ribosomal RNA is filed under the name uncultured bacterium. RNAcentral describes it as "partial 16S ribosomal RNA". It matches the Rfam family "Bacterial small subunit ribosomal RNA", at positions 28 to 507 of the family's 1533-position model. The record is from RNAcentral.
GACGAACGCUGGCGGCGUGCUUAACACAUGCAAGUCGUACGGUAAGGCCCUUUCGGGGGUACACGAGUGGCGAACGGGUGAGUAACACGUGAGUAACCUGCCCACAACUUUGGGAUAACGCUAGGAAACUGGUGCUAAUACUGGAUAUGUGCUCCUGCUGCAUGGUGGGGGUUGGAAAGCUCCGGCGGUUGUGGAUGGACUCGCGGCCUAUCAGCUUGUUGGUGGGGUAGUGGCCUACCAAGGCGGCGGCGGGUAGCCGGCCUGAGAGGGUGACCGGCCACAUUGGGACUGAGAUACGGCCCAGACUCCUACGGGGGGCAGCGGUGGGGAAUAUUGCACAAUGGGCGCAAGCCUGAUGCAGCAACGCCGCGUGCGGGAUGACGGCCUUCGGGUUGUAAACCGGUUUCAGCAGGGACGAAGCUUUUUGUGACGGUACCUGCAGAAGAAGCACCGGCUAACUACGUG